Homo sapiens (human) is the source of this 4542-nucleotide long non-coding RNA. Ensembl annotates it as SNAP25 antisense RNA 1. Its record names the gene SNAP25-AS1. The record is from Ensembl. Lineage: Eukaryota; Metazoa; Chordata; Mammalia; Primates; Hominidae.
CAUCUUUCCAAACUCUUGCAUGAAACUUGAUCUAUUCCUGUUUUCUACUUCAGAAUAAGGUCAAUUUUCAUUAUUUGUAAUUUGUUACACAAUCUUCUGUGUCCUCUCAGUUUUCAAAUUUAUUGCCAUGUAACUGCAAUUCUUUGAAACUUCUUUGAUUGUGAAGUUAUAUCUCCUUUCUUAAUACAUACACACACACGUACACAAACUUUUUUUCUUUAAUCUGAACCAUAAGGCUUUCUGUUUUACAGAUUCUUUAAAAGAGCAGAUUUUUAAAAUCCUUUUUAUCCUUUCUAAUAUAUUUUAUUGUUUUCUAUUUCAUGAAAUUCAGUAAUUUUGCCUUUAUUUCUUAGUAGUAUAUUUCACUUCAUUUGCUUUUUUCCUAAUUUCCUAGGAUAAAAACUAUUUUUUUCUUUCAUUUACUUUAUUAAUGUAAGCAUUUAAGGCUAUACAUUCUCCCCUGAACACAGUUUCAUCUGUGUCUCAUAGGUUUUGGAUUUAGUGUUCUUUAAAUUGCUUCCUAGAAAAUUAGUAACAUUAGUUGUGAUUUUCUCUUUGAUGUGGAGAGGAUGUUUCUUAAUUUGCAAGUACUUAAACUUUAGGCCACCUUUAAAUCAUUUAUCUUCAACAGCCUAUGAUCAGAUAAUAUGUCUAUUAAAUCCCGAUUUUUUAGAAAAGGUGUGUGUGUGUGUGUGUGUGUGUGUGUGUGUGUGUGUGUGUGUGUUUAAAUAUAUAAUUGAUUUUUUUUUUUUUGAGACGGUGUCUCACUCUGUCGCCCAGGCUGGAGUACAGUGGUGCAAUCUCUGCUCACUGCAAGCUCCGCCUCCUGGGUUCACGCCAUUCUCCUGCCUCAGCCUCCCGAGUAGCUGGGACUACAGGUUCCAGCCACCACGCCCAGCUAAUUUUUUUUUUUUUUGUAUUUUUAGUAGAGACGGGGUUUCACUGUGUUAGCCAGGAUGGUCUCGAUCUCCUGACCUCGUGAUCCACCUGCCUUGGCCUCCCAAAGUGCUGGGAUUACAGGCGUGGGCCACUGCACCCGGCCAUAUAUAAUUGAUUUUAAGAACUAUUUCAUAGGCAUAAAGUAUACUAUCUGGAAAAUGAAUAUAUGUAAUCAACUUUGUUGUGUUGUUCUAUUUUCCUAAAUAUUUGAUUAUAUUUAAAUUUACCACAUCAGCCUAAUUUUUAUAUGUUAAAUCCCUUGUAAUCAGUGUAUUUUAAUCAAAGUCAUCUUAUAUUUCUAGUAAUUUUUAAUUAAUGUAUUUUGUGGCCAUACUGUUUGUGCAUAUAGAUUUAUGUCAUCUGCUUCCUAACUUUUGCCACUGUAACUCUAUGUCAUCCUUUUCCUUAGGUAAUGUCCGUAGCCUUUAAUUUCUCCUUGUUUAACAUUUAUUUCUUUUUGCUUGCCUUGCCUCAAAUCUCUUAUUUUUAAUCUUUCAUUAUCAAUUUGUUUAUAAGAAUGUUUCUGAUAAAUACUAUAUAGCUAACUUUUUGUUCUUAUUUAAUCCAAUUUGACUUUCUCUGUUUUUUUAAUGAGAGAAUCUGGUAUAUUAAUAUUUAGUGUAACAAAUGAUAUACUUGAUUUUAUUUUUUCAGUCUCAUUGAUUGCUUAUUAUCUAGAUUAUUCUACUAUGACAUCUUUUUUUUUAUUUUUAUCAAUUUGGUCUUCAAGUCCCUCCUAACUUGGAGAAUCUGAUUAACUUUUUCAUCUCAUUAAUAAUCACCUUCCGUUCUCAGGCAUUAAUAGUCAAACAUUUAUUUUCUUUUAAAUAAAAUAAGGUAACUCUUUGUGCCCAUUUCUAGAUGCUUGAUUCUCCCAGUCCUUUCCCAACCUAAAAAAGCAUUUUGUCUUCUACUUCCCCAUUUUGUUUUCUUCUCCUAGAUGAGAUCUUGAGAAUGACCUUACAUCCCUCCAACCUUCUACCCAGCCCUAAGUCUUUAGUUUGGCCAAGAUAAGUUAGAACUUCUAAUUCCAUAUAACUAUGGUACUGUCACUGGCAGUAUGAAUGCUCCAUGUGAAUGCAUAUGCCAGAUUUGAAGGGAAUCUUUCUUUCUUUUUUAAUUGAAAAGCAGUUAGAUUCACAUUGUGGUUAUGAGUUUGGGUGCUUGUAUCAGACUACAUGGAUUUUUUUCUCAAAGGUGUUGCUUGCUAACUGUGUAAACUUGGACAAGUUAAAUAAAUUUUUUUGUGCUUCUGUGAAAAGAAGAAUUAUAUUGUGGUUGUUCAAAAUAUCCAUACAUUCUUCAACUCUCACCCAAAAAACUGGAGCCUCAUUCUCCUUCACUUUUCUGUUUGGUGAAUUUAGUCUCUCACUUCUGGUGAAUGGGAUACAGUGGAAGUGACAGCAUGCCUUCUAACUCUCUCUUUCUCUCUCUCUCAGAAUGUUCACUCUGGGGGAAGCCAGCUGCCACGCUGUAAGGACACUCGGGCAGUCCUAUGAAGAGGCCCGUGUGGUGAGAAAGAGAGGCCUCCAGCCAACAGCCAUAGAUGGGGUCUUGCUAUGUUUCCCAGUUGGAGUGCAGUGAUUAUUCACAGACAUGAUCCCACUACUGAUCAGCAUGGGAGUUUUCACCUGCUCCAUUUCCCACCUGGGAGGUCAUCAUAUUGAUGGCGAGCUAAGUGUGGACACCUGAUCAGCAUAGCACAGUACAGCCCAGAACCCCUGGGCUCCAGUGAUCCUCUUACUUCAGCCUCUUGAGUAGCUGGAACUACAGGCCUGCACCACUGCACCCGGCUAGUUUGUUUUUGUUAGAGUUUUGUCUCUAGGAUUUUCCUCAGCUGAGUAUGUGAAGGCUAACUUCUCCUUGUGAAUCUGCAAAUAUCCUUAUUUUACCCUUUAUUUUACCAUGUAUCAUUUACAGGUAAAUGAUAUCUUAGCUGUGUAUUGAAUUUCUGUUUUUUGUUUUUUCUUCAGUACUCUAUAAAUAUUACUCCAGUAUCUUCUAGCUUCUCCCAUUUUCUCCUAGUGAAUGGUUAUUCUGCUCUUAUCUAGCAGGUGAUAAAUCUGUCAACAGAUAGUUUUUCCUUUUUGUUUUAUGUGUAAGUUGUUAUUUCUUCCUUAAAGUUCAUAAUCUUUUCCCAUUUAUUCUCUAAAUUUUAGACUAUAACCAGGAUGUGUUUAGGUUGAUAUCUUUGCUUAUCUAUUCUGCCUGGAAAUCAGGAACCUCUUCCAAUAUUCAGACUUGUGUUUUCAGCUCAGAAUAAUUAUUUUAUCAUUUGUUUGAUUAUUCCUUUAGUUGCACUGGAUCUUAGUUAAAAUGCCCAUUCUGAUUCAAAGUAUCUGGAAGGCAAGUAUUUGUCAACUAAGGGAAAGGUGACCAUGCAUCAUUGGUUUUGCUGAGACUACCUGGUUUACACCUUCAGGCUUUAUACUUAGAAAAUAUUGCGAUCAUCUUCUGGUCAUGAAGUUACAAACUUCAGGACAAAGGCUAACCAGCUAAGACUAGCAGAGCAAAUUCCAAGAACUUGGGGCUUUAAUUAACUUGAAUUGAUUUGGACUUGCCCUACCUUUAACUUCACACUGAGAUAAAAAUUCCCCACAUUUUCAAGCCAUUUUUGAGAUGAGUCUCUUAUGGUUGAAAGCAUCCUAAUUUAUACAACAUCCUUUUGGUACCUAACUAAAUAUUCACCAAUAUUUGGCACAUUUGUUAAAUCUUUUGGUGUGUGCCUCUUCUAUGUAAUGUAAAUAUGGUCUGAAUAUCCAUUCAGAAAUUAUAGUUGAUUUGCAAAAAUAACUACUAUAUCACCUAUAUUAAUUGAUAGUUAUUCCUUCCCAACCUUCUUUCACUCUUCCAUAUAUAUACAGAGUAAAUCUACAUCAUUAUGUUGAUUAAACAAAAUAGCAGUGAAAUCAGGAUGUUACUGCUCAUUGUGCAUUUAUUUCAAUUAUGGAAAAAGCCAACACUUUACUCCCUUAUUUAACACUUCUGUAGAAAAGCAGUUGAAAUAACCUAGUGUCAUUCUAAAAUGAUUUGUAUACUAUGUAGACCAGAAUCUAGGGCUAUACCUAAAAAUACAUAAAUGAAAUUAUUCUAGAAGUUAAAUCUUCAUGAAAAAACAAAUUAAAUGGUUUACUAACCUCAAGCUGAUUAAAUGUUUUUAUUAAAUGCAGCCUCAGCCAGCACCUCUUUUCAUGGCUGCAAUAAUUAAGUAUAAUAAAUAUUCAAAUCAGUAAUUGAAUUUGUUAAAAAAAACAUGCUCAGCUCAGUGAAGACUUUCUAAUAAAUAGAAUUCAGGUACCAUAUUUUCAUACUUCAUGACACUUGCCUCAUCUUAGUUUGAUGACUGCCGUUUCUUGCACUGUAACAAGAUUUUAUUUUUAUUUUGUUUUACGCUAUUCAAACAAAUACAUUCAAAGUCAUAGGCUACACCUAUGUAUAACCAUAUUCUGAGAGUUGGCUUAUGUGUUUGUUUAUUUUCUCACAAUUAAAGAUAGGUCAGAUGUUGCCAAAUUAGUAAAUAACUAAACUUGAGAUGGGAAAUACUCUAGAGACACAAUCUGCUUAGUUUUGCAUAGUUUUGCAUAGUUUUAGUCACUUUUCCCG